CAACAUCUUUGUUUGUAUGUGGUGCUGAGGAUCGAACCCAGGCCGCACGCAUGCCAGGCGAGCGCGCUACCAUUUGAGCCACAUCCCCAGCCCAUAUUAUAUUGAUAUAUAUUUAAUAUGCAUAAAACUACUUAUUUUAUGCACACAAUUUAAUGAGUCUGACACAGCUACCCAUUUUUGUUUCUAUGUGCAUAUAGGGAUAGAUAUGAUAUUUAUUUGGGAAGAGGUCUAACUGAUGUUGAGAAUGGUUAUAUUUGAUUAUUAAAUUAUGGAAUACUUUUUAAUUUUAAAUAACUUUUGAAUUUCUAUUUUAACAUGUGUCAAUCGUAGAAAAACACUAGUUCAUUCUAAAAGAAAAAUAUAAAUCUGGGGAAAAUAUUUUGAAUCUUUUGUACAGUUUGUAUUUCUUUUGCUAAGUAUUUCUUUUACUAAGCACCUUUGCUUAAUUAUUGAUUAUGACAUUGCCAAAAAUUUCUGAUUUUUAAAGAGUAUACAAUAGUCUUGAUGAACAUGUUAACCUUGCUUUUCUGUUAUAAAUACAAGUUGAAAUUUAAGUGAUAACUAACUAUGUUGUAAUUAUGUAAAUAAAUAAUCAACCAUCAAUGAAAGUACAGAAACACAUUCAACAACAUUAUUGACUGUUGUGGUUUAGAUCUAAGAAUGUCCCUGGAAAACUCAUGGGUUAGACAGGGCAGUAAUGUUCAGAGGUAAAAACCUCAUCAAGUGGAUUAAUUCACUUGGAGUAUUAAUAAUUUGAAUGAAUUACUGGGUAGUUAACUGUAGGCAGGUGAGGUGUGGCCAGAGGAAAUAGAUCAUUGAGUGCAUGAUGAUGGUCUAUUAAAUAUUGUUCCUGGCUUCCCUCUCUCUUUCUUUCUCUCUUUCUUUUCUGACUGCCAUAACCUUACAGCUUUCUGUCUCCACACUCUUUGGCCACGGUUUUCUGCCUCACCUCAGACCAGAACAAUGGGUCAGCUGAUUACACACUGAGGCCUCUGAAACCCUGAACCAAACUAAACUUUUCCUUCUCUGUGUUGUUCUUCUCAAAUAUUUUAGUCACAGCGAUGAAAGGUUGAGUUAGACACUGAACUACUUAGUUGGGUAAACUAUUCAAUUUAUAAGAUGCCUAUGAAUAUAACUAUAUAAUUUAAGACUGCCCAAAGAAAUACUCUGUCCUAAAGAUAUUAUCACAGGUCAAUGUCACCAAUUCUCAAGACAAAGAAGAAGAAUUUUUCCAGAAAAGAAUUGGCAGGUAAAAUACUACUAGUGGUUUUGUCUAAAAACAAUCACCUUUUGAAAAGCAUUUUCAGACUUUUUGUUUUCAUAACAUAGGCCCUGCAGAAUUUAAUGGAAUCUUAGGCCAAGGCACAAACUCUUCUAAAUAGACACCUUCAAUUUUUACAUGAAGUUAAAAAGAAAUGUUUACAACAGAAUUUUUAGUAGGAAAAGAAAUGCUAAAAGCUAUGAUGUUCACCAAUAUGUAAACCUUAUAGGGGCAUGGGGUUAUGGGCUGCUGUUUUAAUUGCUCUGUCUCUAGUAUCAGCAACAGUGAGAGUUUUGAAACUAUCAAACAAAUUUAUCUAUAAAUCUAUAAAAUAAUAAAGAUUAAUAAAUUCUAAUAGUACAGUGUUGAUUUUAUCUUCUCCCUUUUUGCUAACCUGUCCUUUUCCUGUAACAACUGAAGGAAGAUGUAAUAUAGGUCAGAAGACAGGGAAAGCAAAAGAAAUCUGAGAGAGACAGCUGAUACCCCAAAUCUUUUCUCCUUUCUACUCAGUAAAAUUCCACCAUUAUACUACAUUGGAUAUGUAUCUUGAAAGGAUAGAUAAGAGAGUUCCUCAAAUUAGCAUGGAUCAGAUUUAUAAAUGUUAGAUCAAAAGUUUAAGAUUAUGAUUGAGAGAGAAAAUUUGAAAUCCACACUUGGUACCUGUUGGAGUUUAGGCAAACAAAUUGAACUAUAUCCCAGGUUGUGCACCUUAAAAUUAUGGUGAUCCUGUAGAGUUAAGGAUUAGAGGAUAAGAAUUCUAGUAUAAUCCUGGAUCUUGUCAAAACCCAACAAAUGUAAGUCUGUAGUCCAUUAUAUUCUGAAAGUUUUCACAAGGAAUACAAAUCUAUUUAAAAUAUCAAGGUUUAGCACUGAAAACUUGAUAAAACUAAACUGAAGACAUUUUAAAUAUAUUAUUUGGUUUGAGCAUUUAUACUAUUUAAAUAUUUUCCACAUUCUACUUAAUUUUAAUGAUGAAAGUAGUUUUAGUUGAUUUUUUUCUUUGUUCUAUUUCAUUAGCUGAAAAUUGCAAUUCUCAUUUGCCUUUUGCAAUCUUAUGAAAAAUUUGGUUCUCAAAGUAUACUUGAAAAUUGGCAUUGUUCUGCCUUGAAGAAUAUGAGCCUAUUUUCUUUAUUUAAAUGCAUUUUAAAAUAGGUUUUCUAACAAAUUAGAUGCAAGAAAUUGUAUCUGGUUUUUGGCAAUGACUGUCUUUUACUACCUGUGGCGAUAAAAACAUCUCUUCCUAUGGUGAUAAAAGGAUAUUUAACAUUCUAUUGUGUCAAAUUAUCUGUAGUUAAGUUAAAUGGGAAUUUGCAUAGUAGGAAAAAGUAAUGUUCUACAAGUUUUUAAUAAACUAGAUCAUCACAGAAGAAACUAGUUUACUUACUAACAGAUAAUCUGCAAACGUAAAUCUUUAACAGAUGCAUUAGCUCUAACUGCCUGGUGCUAAGAUUUGAGAUUUGAGAUCCAUUCUAGUUUGUUAUAUUAUUAUUAUUUUAUUUUUAAUUUAUCUUUAUUUGUUCUAAUUAGUUAUAUAUGACAGUAGAAUGCACUUUGAAAUAUCAUAUAUAGAUGGAGUAUAAUUUCUAAUUCUGAUUGUACAUGGUGUAGAAUUCCACCAAUCAUAUAAUUACAUAUGUAUAUAAGGUAAAAAUAUCUGAUUCAUUCUAGUAUCCUUCCUACCCCAUAUUUCCUCCUCUCUCUUUAAACCACAAAUUCAAAUUCAUCUGUGUAAUUUAGCACUUGUAUGUCAAUAACAAAGUUACUGUGUUAGUUGCUACAAAAAACAACUUCUAAUCAACUACAAUUAACUCAUAUUCUUUGGGGGGGUGUUAAGAUUUGGAUGUGAGGUGUCCUCCAAAAGCUCAUGUGUGAGACAAUUCAAGAAGGUUUAGACUACAGAUGAUUGGGUUAUGACAGCCUCAACCAAUCAGUGAAUCAAUCUCCUGAAGGGACUACUUGUGUGGUAACUGAAGGUGGAUAGGGUGUGGCUGGAGGAGAUAGUUCCUUGAGGGCGUUCCUUUGGCACAUAUAUUUUGUAUCUGUGAAUGGACUCUUUCUCUAUUUCAUGAUCCUCCUGUGAGCUGCUUGCCUAUGCCACAGGCUUCCACCAUGAUGUUCUGCCUCACCUGAAGCCCUAAAGAAUGGAGCCAGCUGUCUGUGGACUGAGAUCUCAGAAACUGUGAGCCCCAAAUAAAUAUUUCCUCCUGUAAAAUUGCUCUUGUUGGGGCUUUUAGUCACAGCAACAAAAAAGCUGACUAAAACGGUGUGGUGUGUGUGUGUGUGUGUGUGUGUGUGUUUUGUACUGAAGAUUUUAGCCAGGGAUAAAUAAUCACUUAACUAACCUUUUUUAAAUUUUUGAGACAGGGUCUCACUAAGUUUCCCAAGCUGGUCUGGAACUUGAGAUCUUCCUGCCUCAGGCUCCAAAGUCACUGAGAUUAUAGUUGGGCACCAUCACACCUUGCUGAUAUUUAUUUUUAAUGUGAAAUUAUGGAACUGAAUCAGUAACCUAGGAGAAGCAUAAAUGAGGAAAUCUGAGACAACUAUAUGUGACAAUGGCCUUAGGCCUGAGCCCAAGCAACUCCAUUUUAAAAAACUCCAGUUUGAAAACUCCAGUCUCAUCAGACGCACCUAACAGAGCCCUCCAGUAUGGCCUCAGACAAGUUACUUCCCCUCACCUUGAUAAGCAGAGUGAAGCCUCUGGCAGGCUGUCCUCUCCUGAUAAGAGGGAAAGGUGAGAAGAUCAGGGUGAAUACCAUCAGACCAGAUGUUUCUGAUCCCAGGGUAAAUGAUGUCAUGAAGAAAUCCAGUGGUAGCUGAUAAGGAUUGAAAAAAGGGUCAAAAGCCCCAAAUUUAGUAUAAAUAAUAGAGCUGAUGAACAGGGAUUCAGCCAGCCCAAACAAGAGUGCACUGGAGCUGAAGAGCCUGAUGAGGACCUGGACUGACAUCCCAUCGUUGGUCAUCAUUUUCCUGAUCCUCUGUGUGAUCCUCACCACUCUCAAACUCUACCGCAGUGAGAGUGGUAGAGAGCCGCAACUUCUCCCUAGGACCCUUUCCUCAACUGGCUGACCACACCACACCAGGAAAAGCCUGCCUUGGUUCUGGACCUGAUCACGUGGUCUGAGUGAGUGUGCAUCUGCUGGACUUACAGCCUAAAGUUUAAGACUUUUGAACUUAAUAAGCAGAGGAUAAUGUCUGUCAUUGGCCUGUCAUUAUUGUGUUUUGCAGUGCUUAGAAUUAAUCUAGAAUUAUUUGCUGUGAAUUGAUUAUGUCUAUUGCAGUGCUUGGCAUAAAUGAUUGUCAUUUUCUUGAUUAAGAACCUAUAGAGUGAAAUUAUAUUGAGUGAUUUGAGUGAGUAAAGCUUUGGAAAGGGCAGAAGCACGUGGACAUUCUUUAUUUCUCUCCCUUGCCUGCAUAUGUCUCAAUUUUGCCCCCUCAUGACAUUGUAAUUCAAAAAUUAUUUAUAAAGGAAAUACUUUAGGAUAUAUUAUUAAAAUUAAUUUAAGUAAUUACUUGUGUAGAGAGAAGCUUAUCUAAACAUAGCUUGAAUACACUAUAAAAUCAAAGAGAAAACCAAACAUAGCUCUUCAAAGAGUCUUAUUCAAAUGUAUAUUUAAAUAAUAUGAAAUAAGAAAUAGUUUUUAAGUGGAAAACUUCAGAUAAAGAUAUUGGUCAAUCACUAAAUAUAAUUUAUUACCUUCUAAUGCCUAAAAAGCAAGUUUAUUUAUUUAUCUAUUUUUGUUUUACUUGUUUUGUCUCAAUUAUACAAAAUGGUGGGUUUCAUUGUAGCAUGUUUAUAUAUAAAGAUAAACAGUUUGAUUAAUUUCACCCCCAGUGCCCCAUCUUCCCUCCCUUCAUUCAUUCACUGUACCCUAAUUGUCUCCAUUUUACUGUCAUAGAAACUCUUUUAUAUCCCUGCUCCAGUCUCCAUAUGAUACCUUCUUCUCUUGAUCCAACUUUACUUUAUUAAAAUUUGUGGUGUCCAAUUCCAUGUAUGUUUCAGCAAGAAAUCAUUUUGUUCUUUUUUUAAUGGCUGAGUAAAACUCCAUUUUGAAUAUAUAUCCUCUUUUCUUUAUCCAUUUAUCUGUUUACAGACACCUUUGCUGAUUUUAUAAUUUGGCUGUUAUGAGUUUUGCUGUGAUAAAUAAGGGGAUGCAAGUAUCUCUAAAGCAUGCUGUUAGUUCUUUCACUGGAGCAUAUAGUGGGUCUAUUUUUAGAUUUUUAAGGAAAGUUUGAACUGAUUUCCAUUGAAGUUGUAAUAAUUUACAUUCCCACCAACAGUGUGUACUCCUUUUCCCCCCAGGCAUCCUUGCUGAAUUUAUUGUUAUUUUUAUUCUUUAUAAUUGCUAUUCUAACUCAAGGGAGAUGGAAUCUCAGUGUAAUUUUGAUUUGCAUUUCCGUGAAGACUGAAGAUGUAGUCAUUUUUAUUUCUAAUUUUGAGAAGUGUCUCCUCCCUGCCCACUUAUUAAUUGGAUUGUUUGUUAAUAUUGAUCUUUUUCUUUAGUUCUUUAUAUAUUCUGGAAAUUAAUCAUCUGUCCAAAGAGAAGAUAGAAAAUGUGUUUUCUUUUGAAUUUUUUAAAAAAAGUUUUGCUAGUUAAAGGCCUAGUGGAAAAUUGUUUAUCAGUGAAUGGAUCUAAAAUCUGUAGUGAGUUGUUUGUAGAUACAUGUUAAAUUGGUAAAUUUUAAUUUGAUCAUUUGAAUAACAGAUAAAAAUAAGUUUUUCAACCCAACAGUAAAAAACUUGCUCAACAAUAUGUAUAAACCCUCCAUAUACACAGGAUAGUUCAUCACUUAAAGAAUUAACAAAGUUAACACACCUCAGCUUUUAAGUAAAAUUCUUAGUUUAAACAUUUCGGUAUGUAUUAAAUAGUUCACUACAGACUUUAGAUGUACUCCCUGAUAAAACAGCUUUUUAUAAGAAAUCUUUAAUCUGCACAGUAAGAAACACCUUUAAGUAAGUGCAUUUAAAACUAAUUCAUAUAUUAUACAUAGCAGUUUAUGAAAUAAUUUAAAUCACUGAACCGAAACAGGUAAUAGUCCAUCUUCUUGGUUGCAUCUUUUCCAUGUGUCUCCAAAUACUCACCUUGAACAUUAGUGUCACACAUUGAAAUAAUGGAUCAAAAUAAUUCUUUCAAAAUCACUCUUUAAAGAAAUAUGUCUUUUGAAUUAUUUAUUGGUUUCUUUGCCUAAGUUUUAGCUGACAAUAUAUUUGCUUUUUUCAUCACUGAUAGUAGUUCCUUUGUGCUUUUACUUGCAUUAUGAUUUGAACACAAAUAUCCUUAGAAUAGUUUUCCUCUGAACUAUUCUUUGAUGACUUAUUUCAGUAAUACUGUGUCUUCCAUUUUUACAGGAUUCAAGAGAGCUCUUAGCCAUUUUAUUUUUGACAAAUUCAUUAAAUUAUGCUGAAAAAAGGCAGAACAUUGAUAUUUGCAAUUCAUAGAUUUUUAGAGAGAUGUUACCUUGCAGAUAUAAAGGGGUUUUCCAGCCAGUGCUGAUUAAUUAUUUUUCUACAUAAACCUUAAAAUCAACUAGAAAAAUUUCAGAAGAAGAACAAAAUAACUCUGUUGAUACAUUUAUUAGAUCUGUAUUGCAUUCACAAAUUGACUUAUGGAUAAUUGAAAUCUUUUUGAUGUUAAAUCUACAUAUCUAAAACCAUUGAAAGUAGUUUCAUUUUCCAAUGUCCUUUUGAUUCCUACAGAAUUUUACUUCUAUAAAUUGUAUAGCUUUCUUGUUAAGUUUCUUCUUCAGUAUUUUAUUUUCUUUUUUAAAUGGAAAAUUCUCUUUCAAUAAUUAUUUUUGUAUAUAAAGAAUGUUGUUUUAUAUGAGUUACUUUUAUGACUAGCCUAACCUACAAUUCGAGUUUCUCUAGUAUGCUUAUUUUUUCUAAUUAUUAUGACUAAUAUCACAAAAAUAUGUAAAGUAGGCAUAGAGAUAAUGAAAAAUUUUGUCUAGCCUUGGAUUUAAAGCAAUGUCCCCUGUUCUUCCCCACCUAGUAAAUUGUUGAGUUUUAAGUCAAAAUAAACUUUCUUUAUGUAAAAAAAAAUGGUUUUCUAUUUUAAUUUUGUGUAAUCAUUUUGAAAAUCCAAAACAAUGUUGAAUUUUUUCCAAUUUUGUCAAAUGGAUAUAAUCAUAUGGAAUUUACUUUUUUAUAUAAAGUGGUGAAUUUUGUAACUCUGCUUCUUUACAUUGCAUAGUAUUAGUGUUUCUAAAAUAAAGCCAGUGGGUUGAUGUUUUGUUGUCUUCAAAAUAUUAGAGUUCUUGAUCUUCUCCCUUAGUUCAUAGAUUUCUUCUUCAGCAACAUUCAUUCUGCAAUUCAACUCAUUUUUUUUAAUCAACUAUAUUAUUUUUCAGGUCCAAAAAUUUCAGGCAUUAUGUUCAAUGACAUAUGUUUCUUGAUUAUGGUUCCUAUAUUACCCACAAUUUAUCUUGUCUGGUCUUAUAAAUCUCCUUGUUCUGCUAAUGAUUGUCCAUUAUAAUUUAUUGUCUUUCUCAUACAGUGGCUGUGCUAAAAUCCCUUUUAAUAUUUUUUCUCAUAUCUCACUUUCUCUUGUAGCAUUGGCCUUGUUAUCCAGGUAAAGUGAAUCUUUGCAGAGACACAAAUGUCCUGUUAUAGACUGCACAGUUUGGAGAACAGAUGAGAGGUGUUUCUCAGGCUGAGGACUCAAGAACUUCAUUCUCCAUGGAGUAAUCAUUGUCUCUUGUAAUUCAAGUAAUUCACUUGCUACCUAAGCUGGAUUGUUCUAAACUCAUCCUGAUUUUAAUUCACUACUCUUUUCCA
Marmota monax (woodchuck) is the source of this 8036-nucleotide long non-coding RNA. RefSeq lists it as uncharacterized. The record is from RefSeq and is a predicted model, not a curated record. NCBI's taxonomy places the organism in Eukaryota, Metazoa, Chordata, Mammalia, Rodentia, Sciuridae. The transcript has 2 exons.